CUCCUGAUGGUGUAGUUGGUUCAUCACGUUCGGCUGUAAUGGUUCUUCAAUGCUACCGAAAGGUCCCUAGUUCGAUUCUGGGUCAGGAGA
Non-coding RNA from Ascosphaera aggregata, 90 nucleotides. The record is from the annotation of a GenBank genome assembly. Lineage: Eukaryota; Fungi; Ascomycota; Eurotiomycetes; Onygenales; Ascosphaeraceae.